GCGCCCCGGGACUCGAACUAGGCUCUUUAAACCCCCCCCGGGAGAGUGGGUGAAAGGCGAGCCUGGUCACGAUUAAAAUGAUCGCCUGCAAAGCGGCUUGCUUGGCUCAAAGCGCCUUUCAGGGCUCUUCUACUAGAAAGGGAAGGAGCGAGGAGGAGACAGAACGCCGCCCAGGCCCGGAGCUGUUCAGGGCAUCCGCGGCUCAGCCAAGCUGUUGUUUUAAAGGAGCAAUAAAAAUGAAUUAUGACUAAACGCCUUCUAACUUAAUGCUUUCGGACGGGGAUCCCCGGCAAAUACGUAAGAGGAUUUUUAUUUGUGCAUGUGUUCCUGCAAUUGAUCUCUUUGAUGACAUUCUCAUUCAUAGAAAGCGUUUGAUUUAUGAGCGUAGGACGAAUCGCAUCCAGGAGCGGCGCAGCCCUGGCCGCGGCCGGGACGCCCUGCUCGGCGCUGCGCCUGGGGCCGGAAACCGGCAGCAGUCCCAACACCCUUCGCCGCUGCUGGGAUUUAGUGGGUGAAGGGGUGGGCGAAGGUAGGGAGCAAGCAGCACAUGAAAAAAGAUCGCGGUUUCGUUGUAACUUCCAAGCCUUUCCUGUUAAGAGCUGGGUUCUUAAAUCAACCCGCCCCACACACAUGUUGCUUACAAGCUGCGUUUUCUCACGGUCUGCUUUGCCUGAGUCCAUCAACAGCUGGGAGAUUAAUCAACCACACUGAAAAUGAGGGAUUUGUGAGGGAGGGGUUGAAAUGUAGAUGUUUAAAACAAAUGUGUAUAAAUAAAUGAAUUGUUGAUAACUUAGUUAUUGACCUGGAAACUAGUAGCUUGUUAAAGAAACUCCAUUUUACUCA
This is a long non-coding RNA of Carlito syrichta (Philippine tarsier), 843 nucleotides long. RefSeq lists it as uncharacterized. The transcript is spliced from 2 exons. NCBI's taxonomy places the organism in Eukaryota, Metazoa, Chordata, Mammalia, Primates, Tarsiidae. The record is from RefSeq and is a predicted model, not a curated record.